This 123-nucleotide non-coding RNA is filed under the name Sinosporangium album. The record is from RNAcentral. Lineage: Bacteria; Bacillati; Actinomycetota; Actinomycetes; Streptosporangiales; Streptosporangiaceae.
GGAGGUUUACUGGCCCUCCAGAGUCGCUCUGCGGGGAGAGGCUCUAAACCACCCCGAGCUGCAUUGGCUGAAGACCGUUGUGGUGAACGUCGCGGGAAAAGGCACGGCUCGACCGUGUCAGGU